This 451-nucleotide long non-coding RNA is filed under the name Elaeis guineensis (African oil palm). RNAcentral describes it as "long non-coding RNA (EGUI_LNC019757)". Lineage: Eukaryota; Viridiplantae; Streptophyta; Magnoliopsida; Arecales; Arecaceae. The record is from RNAcentral.
GAGUUCUAAAAGACAGAGCAUGUAUAGAUAUUGGCCAUUCCGAUCUAUAUCCAACCUAUUGUUAUCGCUACUGUCCACUCCAGCCCUUGGAACAUAUUUGGAAGUGUUCAUAUAUUAAAUUUUGUAUAAGUUUUGAACUUUUUAUUGGAUAUUACAUAUACUUUUUUUCAUACAUUAAAAAGAGGGUUGCCAUCAGGCCCUUAUACUUUUGCUUUUUUUUUCCUAGAUACAAGAAGGCAAGAAUAUGCCACCAAAAAAUUUAUUAGGAAGCAAAAAGGAGAUACGUUUACAGUUAGCUCAUUAGAUAGAGCGAAGAACCUGCGCUUGAGCAAUGGAAUAUAGCAAAAUAAAUAGGAAAAAAAAUAAUAGAGAUAUAUCUGUUGUUAGCAGCGAGGGAUCAGGAAAAACAAAGAGAGCAAGAAUCCAUGAAAGUUUAAACUUAGGGCCUGCU